Molecule: non-coding RNA, 365 nt
Organism: Pelobates cultripes (western spadefoot toad)
Lineage: Eukaryota; Metazoa; Chordata; Amphibia; Anura; Pelobatidae
Source: the annotation of a GenBank genome assembly
AAAGGGACACUAUAGUCACCUGAACAACUUUAGCUUAAUGAAGCAGUUUUGGUGUAUAGAACAUGCCCCUGCAGCCUCACUGCUCAAUCCUCUGCCAUUUAGGAGUUAGAUCCCUUUGUUUAUGAACCCUAGUCACACCUCCCUGCAUGUGACUUGCACAGCCUUCCAUAAACACUUCCUGUAAAAAGAGCCCUAUUUAGGCUUUCUUUAUUGCAAGUUCUGUUUAAUUAAGAUUUUCUUAUCCCCUGCUAUGUUAAUAGCUUGCUAGACCCUGCAAGAGCCUCCUGUAUGUGAUUAAAGUUCAAUUUAGAGAUUGAGAUACAAUUAUUUAAGGUAAAUUACAUCUGUUUGAAAGUGAAACCAGU